This is a non-coding RNA of Erinaceus europaeus (western European hedgehog), 114 nucleotides long. The record is from Rfam. NCBI's taxonomy places the organism in Eukaryota, Metazoa, Chordata, Mammalia, Eulipotyphla, Erinaceidae.
GUCUACGGCCAUACCACCCUGAACACGCCCGAUCUCGUCUGAUCUCGGAAGCUAAGCAGGGUCGGGCCUGGUUAGUACUUGGAUGGAAGAAUUAGGAUUCAGGAGCUGGGUGAU